GUCUUAUUGAUAUUUAAAUAGUAAGUUUAUUCUGCCCAUUGAAUUAAAUUUAAAAGGCUGCAGUAUAUUGACUGUACAAAGGUAGCAAAAUCAAUAGUUUUUUAAUUGGAAACUUGUAUGAAGGAAUUAAUAAAAUAUAAACUGUCUUAAGUUAAUUAAAUUUUAAUUUAAAUUUAAAGUUAAAAUACUUUAAUAAAUUUAUUAGACGAUAAGACCCUAAGAAUUUUAAAUUGUUUAUUUAUAAUUAAUAAAUUUAAGUUUAAAUUAAUAGAUAAAUUAUUUUUUAUUGGGAGGGUAAUUAAAUUUUUAAACUUUAAUUUAUAAAAACGUUGAUAAUUGAAUAUAAUGAUAAUUUUUAUAAUUAUAAGAAAUAAUUACCUUAGGGAUAACAGCGUAAUAAUUUUGGAGAGUUCAUAUUAAUAAAAUUGUUUGCGACCUCGAUGUUGAAUUAAAAUAAAAAUUAAGUGAAGAAGCUUAAAAUUUUAGUCUGUUCGACUAUUAAAAUUUUACA
RNAcentral lists this ribosomal RNA (511 nucleotides) under Polistes testaceicolor. RNAcentral's name for it is "partial 16S ribosomal RNA". The stretch from base 385 to 511 matches the Rfam family "Archaeal large subunit ribosomal RNA", at positions 2544 to 2671 of the family's 2987-position model. The record is from RNAcentral. Lineage: Eukaryota; Metazoa; Arthropoda; Insecta; Hymenoptera; Vespidae.